CAAGCGGAUCNCUUAAAGCCGUUCUCAGUUCGGACUGUAGGCUGCAACUCGCCUACACGAAGCUGGAAUCGCUAGUAAUCGCGGAUCAGCACGCCGCGGUGAAUACGUUCCCGGGUCUUGUACACACCGCCCGUCACACCAUGGGAGUCGGGAAUGCCCGAAGUCAGUGACCCAACCUAUUGGAGGGAGCUGCCGAAGGCAGGUCUGAUAACUGGGGUGAAGUCGUAACAAGGUACC
RNAcentral lists this ribosomal RNA (237 nucleotides) under uncultured bacterium. RNAcentral describes it as "partial 16S ribosomal RNA". It matches the Rfam family "Bacterial small subunit ribosomal RNA", at positions 1264 to 1500 of the family's 1533-position model. The record is from RNAcentral.